This 355-nucleotide RNase P RNA is filed under the name Desulfovibrio sp. OH1186_COT-070. Its description in RNAcentral is "Bacterial RNase P class A". It matches the Rfam family "Bacterial RNase P class A". From Rfam's summary of the family: Ribonuclease P (RNase P) is a ubiquitous endoribonuclease, found in archaea, bacteria and eukarya as well as chloroplasts and mitochondria. Its best characterised activity is the generation of mature 5'-ends of tRNAs by cleaving the 5'-leader elements of precursor-tRNAs. The record is from Rfam by way of RNAcentral. Lineage: Bacteria; Pseudomonadati; Thermodesulfobacteriota; Desulfovibrionia; Desulfovibrionales; Desulfovibrionaceae. RNAcentral also lists the same sequence under 1 other name.
GGAGUCGGACAGGCCGUCGCCGCAGGCAUGCGCCUGGGGAGGAAAGUCCGGGCUCCGCAGGGCGGAACGCUGGGUAACACCCAGGGGGGGCGACCCUCGGACAGCGCCACAGAAAGCAAACCGCCCCAGUGGGGGUAAGGGUGAAACGGUGGAGUAAGAGCCCACCAGAUGCCGCGGUGACGCGGCAUGCUAGGCAUACCCCGUUCGGAGCAAGACCAAAUAGGGAAGGCGGCUGGCCCGGCCACAGCCUUCCGGGUAGGUUGCUUGAGGGUGCGGGCAACCGCACUCCUAGAGGAAUGACGGUCACAUAUGGGAAACCAUAUGACAGAACCCGGCUUAUCGUUCGACUCCCGUU